GUUCCUUCUCCUCUGCGCUUGACUAAUCUUAAACAUCUAAAAACACCCAAAAGGGGCUGGUUUUAAGAUAUUCGGCCUCAAACCAAAUAUUGGCAAUCUGGUACAACUUAUGUUGAGAGGCAAAUGCUGGGAAAGAACCUCAUAUUAGGCCAUGACUGCCUCCUGUAUAUUUCAAGUGAAUUAUUGACUAGUGUCUUCUGUUUUGAUGCUCUGAGCCACUGAAAGCGUCAUUAAAUAAACUGUAAAUAAAUAUGGCACAAAACUGUAAACAAAAAUAAAGUUUGGACCAAUGCACACAUCAAAUACAAAACAGCCUGUUCGACUAUGUAGUGAUGCGUAACCUUGCUCUUGUUGGCAACAUGCAGUUUACUGCAUUAACCAAUGUGUGUCAUAAAGAUAUCUCAGAUGGUAAAUGUCUAAUGAUAUUAACAGGUUGUUAUAAAAAUUAAUUUUUGGUUCUCUGUUUUUUCUUGUGAUUGUAUAAUGAUCUUUGCUUUAAAAUAAAUUUAGCAGAGACUA
Molecule: non-coding RNA, 519 nt
Organism: Zootermopsis nevadensis
Lineage: Eukaryota; Metazoa; Arthropoda; Insecta; Blattodea; Termopsidae
Source: RefSeq, a predicted model, not a curated record